Long non-coding RNA from Xiphophorus hellerii (green swordtail), 729 nucleotides. RefSeq lists it as uncharacterized. NCBI's taxonomy places the organism in Eukaryota, Metazoa, Chordata, Actinopteri, Cyprinodontiformes, Poeciliidae. The transcript is spliced from 2 exons. The record is from RefSeq and is a predicted model, not a curated record.
GCAUUACCGAACGACGCAGUUUUCUUCUGUAGUAACUGGGUCGAAUUCCAGCGCCAUCUUGUGAUGUAAUCAGGGUAAGUCAGACGUAAACAACUGAGGCUGAGUAUGUGAAGCGGAGGGAGUUGUGAGCGAUUUCAGUGAAGAUUUGAACGAUUUAUCUGUGGUUUUGGAGGAAGAAGAGGGAUGGAGUGAUGAAGGAUCUGAUUCUACUGGAGGACGGCAGCUGUUUAUUGAGCCAUAUAGUUCAGGAAGCAACAAUGACUCCAACGUUUUUGGGCCAACAGAGAAGGGUGGAGAUCUGUAGCCUUCAAACCACUGAAUGGUAACAAACAGAUCAGGAAACCUCCGUCUGUCAUGAGCUCCACCCGGCUGGAGCGCACUGGGAAGGAAAUCCAGGGCCCCCCCUUCUGCUAAACAGCCUACAGGACUACAGGAGAGGAAGGAAGAGAGCAGUUUAUGAAGCAGAACAUUAAACACUCCUGUCACCCAAGCCUUCCUCCAGAGACACAUUUAGGACGUCCUGAGGGACAGAAGAACCUUCAUUGUUCUACAUCACAUGUAAGGUUGGUGUUUUGACAGACUGAUGGAGCAGCAAUUAAAGCCCUCAGAACACCACUGAGAAUCAUUUUGAAGUUUAUUUGAAUUUUAAAGUUCCUCAGCUGUUAAAGUUACUUAAUAAUCAUUUUUUUCUCCCAAAGGUACACAAUUAAAUGAAUCACAAGCAACUUA